GGAGAGAUGGCUCAGUGGUUAAGAGCACUGACUGCUCUUCUAGAGGUCCUGAGUUCAAUUCCCAGCAACCACA
RNAcentral lists this transfer RNA (73 nucleotides) under Mus musculus (house mouse). RNAcentral describes it as "tRNA-Ser". The record is from RNAcentral. Lineage: Eukaryota; Metazoa; Chordata; Mammalia; Rodentia; Muridae.